AUUGAACGCUGGCGGCAUGCCUUACACAUGCAAGUCGAACGGCAGCACGGGUGCUUGCACCUGGUGGCGAGUGGCGAACGGGUGAGUAAUAUAUCGGAAUGUACCUUAUCGUGGGGGAUAACGCAGCGAAAGCUGUGCUAAUACCGCAUAAGCCCUAAGGGGGAAAGCAGGGGACCGUAAGGCCUUGCGCGAUUAGAGCGGCCGAUACCUGAUUAGCUAGUUGGUGAGGUAAAGGCUCACCAAGGCAACGAUCAGUAGCUGGUCAGAGAGGACGAUCAGCCACACUGGGACUGAGACACGGCCCAGACUCCUACGGGAGGCAGCAGUGGGGAAUUUUGGACAAUGGGGGCAACCCUGAUCCAGCAAUGCCGCGUGAGUGAAGAAGGCCUUCGGGUUGUAAAGCUCUUUUGUCAGGGAAGAAACAGCAGCUCUAAUACAGUAUGCGAAUGACGGUACCUGAAGAAUAAGCACCGGCUAACUACGUGCCAGCAGCCGCAGUAA
RNAcentral lists this ribosomal RNA (501 nucleotides) under uncultured bacterium. Its description in RNAcentral is "partial 16S ribosomal RNA". It matches the Rfam family "Bacterial small subunit ribosomal RNA", at positions 30 to 523 of the family's 1533-position model. The record is from RNAcentral.